AAAACAAACCUACGGGAGGCAGCAGUAAGGAAUAUUGGUCAAUGGAGGCAACUCUGAACCAGCCAUGCCGCGUGCAGGAAGACGGCCCUAUGGGUUGUAAACUGCUUUUGUACCAGAGAAAACCCCGAUACGUGUAUCGGGUUGAUAGUAUGGUAAGAAUAAGCAUCGGCUAACUUCGUGCCAGCAGCCGCGGUAAGACGAAGGAUGCAAGCGUUAUCCGGAUUCAUUGGGUUUAAAGGGUGCGUAGGCGGACCUGUAAGUCAGUGGUGAAAUCUCUCAGCUUAACUGAGAAACUGCCAUUGAUACUGCAGGUCUAGAGUAUAGAUGACGUUGGCGGAAU
RNAcentral lists this ribosomal RNA (340 nucleotides) under uncultured bacterium. RNAcentral describes it as "bacterial SSU rRNA". It matches the Rfam family "Bacterial small subunit ribosomal RNA", at positions 328 to 667 of the family's 1533-position model. The record is from RNAcentral.